This 694-nucleotide non-coding RNA is filed under the name Trichomonas vaginalis G3. Its description in RNAcentral is "Eukaryotic small subunit ribosomal RNA". It matches the Rfam family "Eukaryotic small subunit ribosomal RNA", at positions 782 to 1535 of the family's 1831-position model. The record is from Rfam by way of RNAcentral. Lineage: Eukaryota; Parabasalia; Trichomonadida; Trichomonadidae.
AGAGUAUGGCCACAUGAAUGACUCAGCGCAGUAUGAAGUCUUUGUUUUCUUCCGAAAACAAGCUCAAUGAGAGCCAUCGGGGGUAGAUCUAUCUCAUGACGAGUGGUGGAAUACUUUGACUCAUGAGAGAGAAGCUGAGGCGAAGGCGUCUACCUAGAGGGUUUCUGUCUAUCAAGGGCGAGAGUAGGAGUAUCCAACAGGAUUAGAGACCCUGGUAGUUCCUACCUUAAACGAUGCCGACAGGAGUUUGUCAUUUGUUAAUGGCAGAAUCUUUGGAGAAAUCAUAGUUCUUGGGCUCUGGGGGAACUACUACCGCAAGGCUGAAACUUGAAGGAAUUGACGGAAGGGCACACCAGGGGUGGAGCCUGUGGCUUAAUUUGAAUCAACACGGGGAAACUUACCAGGACCAGAUGUUUUUUAUGACUGACAGGCUUCGGGUCUUUCAGGAUAUUGUUUUUGGUGGUGCAUGGCCGUUGGUGGUGCGUGGGUUGACCUGUCUAGCGUUGAUUCAUCUAACGAGCGAGAUUAUCGCCAAUUAUUUACUUUGCCGAAGUCCUUCGGUUAAAGUUCUAAUUGGGACUCCCUGCGAUUUUAGCAGGUGGAAGAGGGUAGCAAUAACAGGUCCGUGAUGCCCUUUAGAUGCUCUGGGCUGCACGCGUGCUACAAUGUUAGGAUCAAUAGGACUGCGAGCCUG